This 497-nucleotide ribosomal RNA is filed under the name uncultured bacterium. Its description in RNAcentral is "partial 16S ribosomal RNA". It matches the Rfam family "Bacterial small subunit ribosomal RNA", at positions 28 to 507 of the family's 1533-position model. The record is from RNAcentral.
GAUGAACGCUGGCGGCGUGCCUAACACAUGCAAGUCGAGCGAACAGACGAGGGGCUUGCGCCUUUGACGUUAGCGGCGGACGGGUGAGUAACACGUGGAUAACCUACCUAUAAGACUGGGAUAACUUCGGGAAACCGGAGCUACGACCGGAUAACAUGUUGACCUUCAUGGUUCAACAGUUAAAGACGGUCUUGCUGUGACUUAUAGAUGGAUACGCGCCGCAUUCGCUGGUAGGGAAGGUAACGGCUUACCAAGGCAACGAUGGUUAGCCGACCUAAGAGGGUGGACGCCUAGCCGGGAAGUGAGGAUGAGUCGAGACACCGACGGUGAGACGCAGUACAGAAUCUUACGGGAUGGAGCAGAGCGGGACAGAGCAACGCCGCGUAAAUGAUGAAGGUGCUCGGAUCGUAGAACGCUGUUAUUAGGGAAGAUCAAAAGUGUAAGUAACUAUGCUCGUAUUGACGGUACCUGGACAAUAAGCCACGGCUAACUCCGUG